Molecule: long non-coding RNA, 11523 nt
Organism: Dreissena polymorpha
Lineage: Eukaryota; Metazoa; Mollusca; Bivalvia; Myida; Dreissenidae
Exons: 3
Source: RefSeq, a predicted model, not a curated record
UUUUGGUGCUGUCUUGUGCCCUUGUGAGGAAACUCAAGAACAAAGUGGAAACCCCACAAUGUCAGUAUGAUUACCACACAUUGAACAUUUGGAGUGGUCAUGGAAACCAGGUCAUCUAGGUGAGAACGGCAUGCAGCAACCACUUUGCUAACAUGAUACUGUGCCUAAUAUCUUGGGCUUUUGUGGUUUGUGACAGUAUCCCGUACAAGGCAAAGAUGUUCAUGGUGUUUCCACAAUUCAGUGCUGGUGUAAUAGCACAGGUUAUUUGGUUUCAAGGUUGAAUUCUUAUACAAAUGUGACAUUCAAAUGAGCUUUCAGUAACUUAUUGAUGACAAAAAUCAUCUUACCAUGUUAGACAUUUAUGUAUUAAUACUGUAUAUUUCUUCAAACAUUACUUGUAACUCAAUAGCAUGUAUGGGCACCAUUCGUAAAAUUUACAUUAAGUAUGAUUUUCUCCCAAAGUUGUCAUAAACACAGUUUUUACCAUUGAACAUCUCAAAUAAGUCACUUAUACAGUUUUACUAUUUAAAAGUUUAAAUAAGUCAUUAACACAGGCUUUACCAUUCAACAUCUCAAAUAAGUCACUUAUACAGUUUUUACCAUUGAACAUCUCAAAUAAGUCACUUAUACAGUUUUUAACAUUGAACAUCUAAAAUAAGUCAUUUAUACAGGUUUAACCAUUGAACAGCUCAAAUAAGUCACUUACACAGGUGUUAUCAUCGAACAGCUCAAAUAAAUCACUUACACAGGUUUUAUGAUUGAACAACUCAAAUAAGUCACACAGGUUUUAUCAUUGAACAGCUCAAACAAGUCACUUACACAGGUUUUAUCAUUGAACGAUACAAAUAAGUCACUUACACAGGUUUUAUCAUUGAACAGCUCAAAUCAGUCACACAGGUUUUAUCAUUGAACAAUACAAAUAAGUCACUUACACAGGUUUAAUCAUUGAACAGCUCAAAUCAGUCACUUACACAGGUUUUAUCAUUGAACAAUACAAAUAAGUCAAUAACACAGGUUUUAUCAUUGAACAUCUCAAAUCAGUCAUUUACACAGGUUUUAUCAUUGAACAGCAGCUCAAAUAAGUCACUUACACAGGUUUUAUCAUUAAACAAUACAAAUAAGUCACUUACACAGGUUUUAUCAUUGAACAGCUCAAGUAAGUCACACAGGUUUUAUCAUUGAACAGCUCAAGUAAGUCACUUACACAGGUUUAACCAUUUAACAGCUCAAAUAAAUCACUUACACAGGUGUUAUCAUUGAACAGUUCAAGUAAGUCACUAACACAGGUUUUACAAUUGAACUAUACAAAUAAGUCACUUACGCAGGUUUUAUCAUUGAACAAUUCAAAUAAGUCACUUACACAUGUUUUAUCAUUGAACAGCUCAAAUAAGUCACUUACACAGGUUUUAUCAUUGAACAAUACAAAUAAGUCACUUAUGCAGGUUUUAUCAUUGAACAGCUCAAAUAAGUCAUUUACACAGGUUUUAUCAUUGAACAGCUCAAAUAAGUCAAUAACACAGGUUUUAUCAUUGAACAGCUCAAAUAAGUCACUUACACAGGUUUUAUCAUUGAACAACUCAAAUAAGUCACUUACACAGGUUUUAUGAUUGAACAACUCAAAUAAGUCACUUACACAGGUUUUAUGAUUGAACAGCUCAAAUAAGUCACUUACACAGGUUUUAUGAUUGAACAACUCAAAUAAGUCACUUACACAGGUUUUAUCAUUGAACAGCUCAAAUGAGUCACUUACACAGGUUUUAUGAUUGAACAACUCAAAUAAGUCACUUACACAGGUUUUAUCAUUGAACAGCUAAAAUAAGUCACUUACACAGGUUUUAUCAUUGAACAGCUCAAAUAAGUCACUUACACAGGUUUUAUCAUUGAACAGCUCAAAUAAGUCACUUACACAGGUUUUAUGAUUGAACAACUCAAAUAAGUCACUUACACAGGUUUUAUCAUUGAACAGCUCAAAUAAGUCACUUACACAGGUUUUAUCAUUGAACAAUACAAAUAAGUCACUUACACAGGUUUUAUCAUUGAACAGCUCAAAUCAGUCACUUACACAGGUUUUAUCAUUGAACAGCUCAAAUAAGUCACACAGGUUUUAUCAUCGAACAAUACAAAUAAGUCACUUACACAGGUUUUAUCAUUGAACAGCUCAAGUAAGUCACGCAGGUUUUAUCAUUGAACAGCUCAAGUAAGUCACUUACACAGGUUUAACCAUUGAACAGCUCAAAUAAAUCACUUACACAGGUGUUAUCAUUGAACAGCUCAAAUAAGUCACCCAGAUUUUAUCAUUGAACAGCUCAACUAAGUCACACAGGUUUUAUCAUUGAACAGUUCAAAUAAGUCACUUACACAGGAUUUAUCAUUGAACAGUUCAAAUAAGUCACUUACACAGGUUUUAUCAUUGAACAGCUCAAAUAAGUCACUUACACAGGUUUUAUCAGUGAACAGCUCAAAUAAGUCACUUACACAGGUUUUAUCAUUGAACAAUACAAAUAAGUCACUUACACAGGUUUUAUCAUUGAACAGCUCAAGUAAGUCACUUACACAGGUUUUACAAUUGAACAAUACAAAUAAGUCACUUACGCAGGUUUUACAAUUGAACAAGACAAAUGGGUCACUUUCACAGGUUUUAUCAUUGAACAGCUCAAGUAAGUCACUUACACAGGUUUUACUAUUGAACAAUACAAAUAAGUCACUUACGCAGAUUUUAUCAUUGACCAACACAAAUAAGUCACUUACACAGGUUUUAUCAUUGAACAGCUCAAGUAAGUCACUUACACAGGUUUUACAAUUGAAUAAUACAAAUAAGUCACUUACGCAGGUUUUACAAUUGAACAAUACAAAUAAGUCACUUACACAGGUUUUAACAUUGAACACCUAAAAUAAGUCACUUACACAGGUUUUAUCAUCGAACAAUACAAAUAAGUCACUUACACAGGUUUUAUCAUUGAACAGCUCAAGUAAGUCACGCAGGUUUUAUCAUUGAACAGCUCAAGUAAGUCACUUACACAGGUUUAACCAUUGAACAGCUCAAAUAAAUCACUUACACAGGUGUUAUCAUUGAACAGCUCAAAUAAGUCACCCAGAUUUUAUCAUUGAACAGCUCAACUAAGUCACACAGGUUUUAUCAUUGAACAGUUCAAAUAAGUCACUUACACAGGAUUUAUUAUUGAACAGUUCAAAUAAGUCACUUACACAGGUUUUAUCAUUGAACAGCUCAAAUAAGUCACUAACACAGGUUUUAUCAUUGAACAGCUCAAAUAAGUCACUUACACAGGUUUUAUCAUUGAACAAUACAAAUAAGUCACUUACACAGGUUUUAUCAUUGAACCGCUCAAGUAAGUCACUUACACAGGUUUUACAAUUGAACAAUACAAAUAAGUCACUUACGCAGGUUUUACAAUUGAACAAGACAAAUGAGUCACUUACACAGGUUUUAUCAUUGAACAGCUCAAGUAAGUCACUUACACAGGUUUUACAAUUGAACAAUACAAAUAAGUCACUUACGCAGAUUUUAUCAUUGACCAACACAAAUAAGUCACUUACACAGGUUUUAUCAUUGAACAGCUCAAGUAAGUCACUUACACAGGUUUUACUAUUGAACAACUCAAAUUUGUAACACAGGUUUUACAUUCAGACAUCUCAAAAAGUAUUUUAUACAGGUUUAACCAUUUAACAGUUCAAAUAAGUCACUUAUACAGGUUAUAAAAUUGAACAGCUUGAAUUAUAAUUAUUAAUAAAACAAAAGAUUGCACUGAACUUACAAGGCAUUAGACCAUUUGAAUAAAACCUGGAGAUAAUACAUACACAUACGUUUAUUUGGAACAAUCUAUGGUCAGAGAGUUGCCUUGUUCCAAGCAUAUUAAAUCACUGAUGUGGUUUCUAGCCUGUGAUGAUAUUCAAUCAAAUAUUGUUUUGCAACAAAAAUCAAGUAUAAGAUUGUGUUUGGCUAGUGGGUAAAUAGAGGGGUAGCCAGUAGAUAAUAUGUUUGAUAUUGACCUACAAUGUUACAGCUUUGAAAACUAGUAAGCUUAUAUGGCGAUCUUGCUUCUGAGUUCGUUUAGGGUCCGUUGGGUUAAAGGUCAUAGAAAACAAGGCGUGUAAGAUAAGCUCCCAAAUUAUGUCCUUGAUGAUUUGGGGCAUGCAGUAUAUUUAAUGUAAUAGCUAUUGUGUGCAUGUCUAAUUAAUUAUUAUACCCCCACAAAUGAAGUUUAGGGGGGUAUAUAGGAGUGAGCUUGUCUGUCUGUCGGUCGGUCCGUAUUAAGUGUCCGCUCUCUAAUUCAAGUAGUUUUCAUCCGAUCUUCACCAAACUUGGUCAGAAGUUGUAUCUACAUGAUGUCUAGGCCAAGUUUGAACAUGGGCAUUGCCAGGUCAAAAACUAGGUCACGGGGUCACUCAGUGCGUUUUAAACAUUCAGCAUGUUGUCCGCUCUCUAAUUCAAGUAGUUUUCAUCCGAUCUUCACCAAACUUGGUCAGAAGUUGUAUCUAGAUGAUCUUAAGGCCAAGUUCGAACAUGGGCCUUGCCGGGUCAAAAACUAGGUCACGGGGUCACUUAGUGCGUUUUUUAACAUUCAGCAUGGUGUCCAAGUAGUUUUCAUCCGAUCUUCACCAAACUUGGUCAGAAGUUUUAUCUGGAUGAUCUGAAGGCCAAGUUCGAACAUGGGCCAUGCCAGAUCCAAAACUAGGUCACAAGGUCACUUAGUACGUUUUACACAUUGCGCAUGGUGUCUGCUCUCUAUUUCAAGUAAAUUAAAUCUGAUCUUCACCACACUUGGUCAGAAGUUGUAACUAAAUGAUGUGUAGGUCAAGUUCGAACAUGGGCCAUGCCGGGUCAAAAACUAGGUCACGGGGUCACUUAGUGCAUUUUAAACAUCACAAUGUUGUCCGCUCUCUAAUUCAAGUAGUUUUCAUCCAAUCUUCACCAAACUUGGUCAGAAGUUGUAUCUAAAUGAUGUCUAGGUCAAGUUUGAAUAUGGGUCAUGCCGGGUCAAAAACUAGGUCGUGGGGUAUCUUAGUGUGUUUUAAACCUCACCAUGUUGUCCGCUCUCUAAUUAUACCCCCACAAACAAAGUUUAGGGGGGUAUAUAGGAGUGAGCUUGUCUGUCUGUCGGUCGGUCCGUAUUAAGUGUCUGCUCUCUAAUUCAAGUAGUUGUCAUCCGAUCUUCACCAAACUUGGUCAGAAGUUGUAUCUACAUGAUGUCUAGGCCAAUUUCGAACAUGGGGCUUGCCGGGUCAAAAACUAGGUCAUGGGGUUACUUAGUGCUUUUAAACAUUCAGCAUGUUGUCCGCUCUCUAAUUCAAGUAGUUUUCAUCUGAUCUUCACCAAACUUGGUCAGAAGUUGUAUCUAGAUAAUGUCUAGGCCAAGUUCAAACAUGGGCCUUGCCGGGUCAAAAACUAGGUCACAGGGUCACUUAGUGCAUUUUAAACAUUCAGCAUGUUGUCCGCUCUCUAAUUCAAGUAGUUUUCAUACGAUCUUCACCAAACUUGGUCAGAAGUUGUAUCUAGACGAUCUCAAGACCAAGUUCGAAAAUAGGCCUUUCCGGGUCAAAACUAGGUAACGGGGUCACUUAGUGCGUUUUUUUACAUUCAGCAUGGUGUUCUCUCUCUUAUUCAAGUAGUUUUUAUCCGAUCUUCACCAAACUUGGUCUGAAGUUUUAUCUAGAUGAUCUGAUGGCCAAGUUCGAACAUGGGCCAUGCCAGAUCAAAAACUAGGUCACUGGGUCACUUAGUACGUUUUACACAUUGAAAAUGGUGUUCGCUCUCUAUUUCAAGAUAAUUAAAUCUGAUCUUCACCACACUUGGUCAGAACUUGUAAUUAAAUGAUGUGAAGGUCAAGUUCGAACAUGAGCCAUGCCGGGUCAAAAACUAGGUCACGGGGGUCACUUAGUGUGUUUUAAACCUCACCAUGUUGACCGCCUUCUAAUUCAAGUAGUUUUUAUCUAAUCUUCACCAAAAUUGGUCAGAAGUUGUAUCUUGAUGAUGUCUAGGGCAAGUUUGAAUAUUUGUCAUGCCGGGUCAAAAACAAGGUCACUGGGUCACUUAGGGCGUUUUAAACAUCACAAUGUUGUCCGCUCUCUAAUUCAAGUAGUUUUCAUCCAAUCUUCACCAAACUUGGUCAGAAGUUGUAUCUAGAUGAUGUCUAGGUCAAGUUUAAAUAUGGGUCAUGCCGGGUAAAAAACUAGGUUGUGGGGUAUCUUAGUGCGUUUUAAACCUCACCAUGUUGUCCGCUCUCUAAUUCAAGUAGUUUUCAUCCAAUCUUCACCAAACUUGGUCAGAAGUUGUAUCUAGAUGAUGUCUAGGUCAAGAUUGAAUAUGGGUCAUGCCGGGUCAAAAACUAGGUCACGGGGUAUCUUAGUGCGUUUUAAACCUCACCAUGUUGUCCGCUUUCUUAUUCAAGUAGUUUUCAUCCAAUCCUCACCAAACUUGGUCACAAGUUUUAUCUAAAUGAUCUCUAGGACUAGUUAGAACAUGGGCCAUUCCGGGCCUAAAACUAGGUCACGGGGUCACUUAGUGCGUUUUUUAACAUUCAGCAUGGUGUCCGCUCUCUAAUUCAAGUAGUUUACAUCAGAUCUUCACCAAACGUUGUCAGAAGUUUUAUGGAGAUGAUGUUAAGGCCAAGUUAGAACAUUAGCCUUUCUGGGUCAAAAACUAGGUCAAGGGGUCACUUAGUGCGUUUUAUAAAUUGAGCAUGGUGUCCGCUGUUUUUUGUGAAGACGACAUGCAAAAUAUUAUGUGUCAAUGCGGCAUGUGGGGGUAUUCGUCACGUCUGUGACAAAGCUCUAGUUCCAUGCUCAUGUAAUACUGACACUGUUAAAUAAUAUACAUGUAUUUCUGAUGUCCCUUUAUGCCACCCUUAAUUGACAAUUUUCUGGAAGACUUGUAGGCUGAUUAUGUUAUGGAUGUCAUUUCGAAUUUCUGAUUUGUAUGCUUCAUAAAAUGUUCAGGGAGCACAUAUACAGUAGCUACUGUGUCCACCCAUCCUUCCAUCUGUCCUUCACUCACACUUUCUCGACAGGACUAUUUUCCAGCAAUAAAUGGCUGGAAUUACAUGAAACUGGACACCUCAUUACAAGAGGAGAUGGGAAUACUACCACUGUACAUCAUUUACUCUUGUGGGAAUUCUGUGAUAGUCCUGGUACAUUUACCUUUCUUGCUUGUCAGGGGUAGACCAUGGAAGGAUGAGAUCCUGGAUUCUCACCUGAUACUAAAAUCUAACGUCUGGUUCUGGUACCUAAACCCAUUUUCAACCUGGUAUUCUCUUCUUCUGUGGGCAAAACGAAGUGAGGGGUCUGCCAAAUAUUCAUGCAACCUGUUCUUGGAAAGGAGAUGGUUGCGGCCAAGAUUCUGAGAAAGGACAUGAUCAGGACAACAAGCCUGAUUAGUCGAACUAGGAAAAACAAGGGUGGAUGCGACAAGUUAGCUACUGGAUCUAAGAUAUUGAUAAAGUUAUCAAUAAAGGGGACAACCAUAGGAACAUACAACGUAAAACCAAUCCAUGCGUGCAGAAAGAACUGAUGCAUGUGCUGAAGUGUUACCGCUGGGACUACAAAGGAACAGAGAGCAAAAAGUUUAAUGAACAAUUAGAGCACAUCAUAGCCAAAGUUCCGAAGAAAGAUAUCCUCAUCAUCCAAGGCGACAAGAAUGCCAAGUUUAGACCAGAAGCCUACCAGUCGGGGACAGCAAGGCAUAGGAAAGACAAACAACAUAGGGCUGAGACUUCUUGAGUUUGCAAAAUGCCACCAACUCACCUUGCCCAACACACUGAAACCACAAACACCGUCAAGAAAAGUGACCUGGCAUGCUCCAAACAGGCAAGUACACAACCAGAUUGAUUUCAUACUGGAGCUGCAUGGUUCCAAUCAAGCAUCAACAAGGCAAAUGCAAGAACGUUUUCUAGAUAUCAGAAUUGACCAUGGCUUAGUGCUCACCACAAUCAAGGUGAAGUUAAAGAGCAAGUGCAUCACACACAAAAAUUGAUUUCAUUUGGAAAAACUGAAAGAUCCAGAGAAAGUAGAGGCCUUUCAAGCACAGAUAGCUGUCAAGUUUGCAACCCUGAGCAUGCUAGAUAGUAGCACCAUCACCAACAACAUCAAGGAGGUUCUUGUGAGGAAGAGGAGGAAUAACAAGCGGUGGGCGAGGACCAAGAUAGUGUACCUCUGCAACAAAAGAAGAGAGCUGAGGCAUAAGAAGUACACCAGCCUGGACUUUAGGACAGAGUACCAGAAAGCAAACAGGGGGAAGAAGAAAAAGAUUAAAAAUGAAAAGGAAGAGUGGAUUGAUGAGCCAGCACCAUUGACAAAAAUGUCACCACAGGCAGCAUUAAGAAGGCCUACAGCACCCUCAUAAACCCUCACAAAGACCAGGAAGCCCACGACCAGUAUUUAUAGCAGACGCUGACGAGAACCUCCUCGCCGAGAGUGCCGCAGUUCUGAACAGGUGAACUGAAUAUACCAUUAUAACAAUAACACCAGUACCGCUGAAGUUCGAAUAAGAUUUGCCAUGGCUACCGAAAUUUUAGCCAGACUGAGCAGGUUGUGAACAAGCAGCUCCAUCAGCUUCCUUACCAAGUACAGGCUUUACAAAUCCCUCGUAGUCUCCGUCAUACUGUGCGGCUGCGAUGCCUGGACGCUUCACGCGGACACAGAACGCAGGAUACAGGUCUUUGAACAAAGGUGUCUCCAAAGACUGCUCCGCAUCUUCUUCCUGGCGCACAAGUCCAACGCAUUGAAAGCAGCACGUGCAGGCCCACAUAAAACCCUCCAGGUGACCAUCAAACGACGAAAGCUGGUUUGGUUUGGACUCUUAAUAAGGCCUGACUCACUGUGCAAGACUGUGCUCCAGGGUACGCAAUAGUGAGGUCGCCGUCGACGCCAUCAGAACAAAAGCUAGAUAGACCAAGUGUAAGAGUUGGCGUCCAUCCCUUUGACUUAAUUACCGGUCAAAUGAAAGAUGAUUACGUUUGCCCUGUCGCCUUCGAAAUACAUGUAUGUUCGUUUUGGUUAUUGGAGUAAAUUUAAUCAACGUAGGCGUCCUACUGUGUUCACAUCUUAAACGAUCUUCGUGUGAUGUUGUUUGUGAUGACUUUUGUUGGCAGUUGAAUGAAAAUUGGACGGUGCAACGUGUUUGUACGAAAUAGUGGGAUUUCUGUGCGUGUAUUCUGUUACUCAAAACGUCUUUCGAAAAUCAUACGGAGUGAACGCGUCAUAGAUGUCAUUCCGCUUCCGUUCAGAGACGUAUAUACCUGACAAUCAUUCUACUGCCUUGGAGCGAUACCCAAUCGAACAUCAAUCACUAAACAUACUAAAAACCAUGGGUUUGACGUAAGGACUCCACACAAAAGAAAGAAGGGAACAAUCAGCAACCUCGGCGGAAUUCCGAAAGGCGUUCAGUCCAUUCGGGAAAAUACUACAAACUUAAUGAAGCAAAAUUACUACUUUAAGACUUGGCAUUACAUCUAAUGAUUUAAACAAACUCUAGAUAGAAAAAGAACACGACCCUUUUUAUAAUACAUGAUUUGAAGUGACUUUGACACUAAAUAGGGAUUCAUAUUCACAAUGUUUGUUUGUUUGUUUUUUAAUAAUAAAUUAAUGAUAUGAUUUAAGCAAAGAAUAAGUAAUUCAACAGAGAUCAUUUCAUGUAUUUGAACAUGAAAUUAUCAAAUUAUUUUAAAGUGUGAUUGUUUAACCUUGUCUGAAUUGUGAACAUUCUAUAUAACCGUACUAAAUUUAUAAAUUGUUGUCUUGUAAAAGUUAUAUAUGUAUAUAUUUUAAGGUACUGUCAAAGUCAUAUAAUAAAUUUUAAUGUCAAAUAAUAUUUUUGUAAGUUGCUUAGAUGCCCAGCGUUUAACCAAAAGUGCUAAGCUCAAGUGAUUUCAUAACUGGACAACUAUACGUAUCGCAUACAAAUUGCAAAAUUGUUCAAUAUCGUUUUGCGAGGUUCAGAUUGGGUUUUACUGGAAAAAAAUCAAGAAUAAUCCCGGAUGUAAACCUGAAGCAUACCAAUUCAUAUUUUAUUUUGAAUCUUAAAUUACAUACCCGUAGCCAGAGGGGGGGGGGGGGGGUGGGUGCGUUGGGUGCGUUCGCAACCAAUGUUAAAAAACUUGUACUAUAUGUUGCACCUAACUUUAUUGGACGCAAAAACGGUUAUUUAUUUGUUUCAAGGAACCAAGUGAGUCUUCGUAUUUAAGCGUUAAAAUAAUGUUGUAUUCAAUAAGCAACCAACAGGUCACCAUAUAAUUAAUAUUUUCGAUUAAGUCAUUUCCAAGACAGCGCGUGAUUUUUAGCAGUUUUAACCGUAUAAUUGUUGAAAUCAACAGAAGUUGUGACAGCAAAAUUUAAGAAGAUCUGAGAAGCUGGUUCCCGCAAAAUGGAAUUGGAAUCAUUUUAGAUGAUAAUUAACGGAAUGUUAUGUCAGCUUCCGAAAACUUACGAUACAGAAAGCUUUUUGGUUUCACUGGUCAUACAAAUUGUGUAAAACCACAUAGUUUUAGCAUAAUUGUAUGGGUGCUUUAUAAAUCAGCCUCGUUCCAAUAUCCCAUUACCCUCGUUACAACUAAAUAGGAUAUCUUCAAAGCAUAUAAAUAAUUAAUUCGAUUUCUUAGCAUUCAUUGGCUGCGUCUCUUUUCCAUUUGAUGUUAUGUGCCUUCAACUUUAUCUUUACUUGACUGAAAUCAAAAACACCCUUCGACUAUUGCCGAAGACUAAUGAGUCACUGGUUAAUAACUUUGAAUUAUACCACGAUUUAUAACAAGAACACAUUGUGCACAGCAUUUUCGACAGACUGAGUUUUGUUAUAUCCUCGUACAACCAUUUUCGGAUCCCCUAAAGGGUUUUCCAGCAAAAAAUAUCAGCUAUGCUCAAGUCAUCAUAUUUUUUUGUUGAAUGACAAGAAAACAAAUAAUUGUUACAAAGCAAUCAAGCUUAUUUUGUAGUUUAUCAACACUUAAUAGCAUCUGUUCUGCUCAACAUACAUAACUUUCCACGAUGUUUUAAUUAUGCCAAACUUGACAAUAGGAAUGUCCUAUGCUUAAACAGUUGUCAUAAUGAAUUUAAAACGGUAUAACAUAUGAUCCGAUGGACGUUAACGUUUAAUUUUCAUCAACUAUGUCUAUGACGGAUUUUGAGUAUAUAAUGGGCAAAUAAGUACAUCUUUUUUCUACAACGUCCUGGUAUACAUGGUUAAGGACUUUGAGACCAUAGGGCCAGUAGUUUGUGGUAGUAGGGUCUUAAUGAAGCCUAAAGUGUUAUAUGUUUCUGAAAUUAGUUUAGAAAAAGAUAACUAAUUUGUUUAAAAUAGUAAAAAAAAUAACAAAGUAACCAGUUAUACCAUUUUAAUCCUUUUUAAAAUGCACAUUAGACCCAGUUUUGUUAAUCGGUGUUUGUUGUACAAUAUACUAUUAGCACGUUUAGAGCAAUGCUAUCCAUAGUAGCAGACAAACAAUUAUUUUGAAAAAAAGUCAAAUAUUUCCGUUUUAUUUGCUCGAUUUAUGAAUGGUAGAAUGUUGGAAUUGUAAA